Molecule: ribosomal RNA, 253 nt
Filed under: uncultured bacterium
Lineage: Bacteria
Description: partial 16S ribosomal RNA
Rfam family: Bacterial small subunit ribosomal RNA
Source: RNAcentral
GACGAACCGUGCGACCGUUGUUCGGAAUCACUGGGCUUAAAGGGCGCGUAGGCGGGCUCACAAGUCAGGGGUGAAAUCCCACGGCUCAACCGUGGAAGUGCCUUUGAUACUGUGGGUCUUGAGGGAGGUAGGGGCGUGCGGAACUUCCGGUGGAGCGGUGAAAUGCGUAGAUAUCGGAAGGAACACCGGUGGCGAAAGCGGCGCGCUGGACCUCUACUGACGCUGAGGCGCGAAAGCCAGGGGAGCAAACGGG